AUGCAUUUAUGUCCCUGGGCCUCCUCUGGCCUGGUGGGAGAAUUCCUGGGAAUCACAGCUUUGACUAGCUCCCAGGGCAUUCUGCACCCACUGCUGUCGAGCACCCAGGCUGAGCCAGUGAGGAACUGGCUCCUUCACAGGAAUCUGUCAGGAAGAGGAAGCAGGGUAAGAGCUGGACUCAGGAAGGGGUGGAGGGUUGGUGCCCAGGUGCUAAGGUGGAGCUCUUAGCAGCCUCACCCAACCCGACUUCUUUCCUGCUGGGACAUGAGGUAUGGGGCUCCCUUCUUGGAGGACUGGACAGAAAACACAGACCUGGGGUGGGAGUGAUCUACCACAGGGCUACUGGAAGCCAGGCUGGCAGUCCCCUUAAAACAGACAAGCAGCCCAAAGCAUGGUUUCCUGGGUCCCACACCCUCAGCUCUGCUUUGAGCCAACAAAAGAAAAGAGUCUAUGAACAGGCAGAAACUUUUUGUUUGUUUUAAUUUUGAAAAGAAGUCCCAGUUUUCUCUUCAACUCUAUUCUUAGUUUUCAGGGACAGAGAAAAGUCUGUAGUAACAACAUCAACUGAACAUCAUCUGGUGACUUCCGGCUUUCAGGACAAAGACAUUUCCCAGGAGUUGUCCUGCCAGUCAGCGAGGACAACUCUCCAGGUACAGUCCAGUUCAAGGCGUCUGGGUUCACCCUGGCAAAGGGCUUGCGUGACAAAGCAUGAAGCACCGGACAGGUAGCCUAGGGCUCCUCAGCCUUGCAGAGCCUAAUUGAUACCCACCAGGCCUGUGCCAUUUAAGGGACCCUAACCAAGCAAACACUCAUCUUCCUGAUGUCCUCUGCUAUCCACUAGCCCCUCUGCACUCCUCUUAGCUUCUACUUCCAUGAAUCCAUAAUCAUCAAAAGGUACAGUGGCCUGGGCUACAGCGGAAGCUGUGGUUGGGCAGCCAUUGCAAGCUCACCUUUACCAACAUUGAGAAAAGAGAAACAAGGGAGGGGCAUGCGGCUCACCAGAGACAAUGAGAUGACCCCUUCCUCCCCGAGCUCAACUCCUAGUACCUACCUCAGGCAGGGUCCUCGUGUGAGAGGACGCUAAGGAAGCUGAAAGUUAAAGCUGCUCUCAACCUGGCCCCUUUCUGGCACGUGAGGAAAGCUUCCUAGAACUUUACAAAACACUAAGGUCACCAGGACCAUACAACCCCAAAGUUUUCUUCUAGAGCUGAGUAGACUGUACACUUUGUAAAAACAGGUAUGAGUAACAAGAGUGCCACACGCCCCCAGAAUCCCUGAGCCUCAGGUUCUCGUUUUCUCGAGACACCUUCUUCACCUCAAGCAGCCGUUGCUCCAUCAGCCUGCAUUUAACCCAACAUCUCAGCAGCAACACAUAGAACUAUAAAAUACAGCUUCCUUGUAGUAGACAUUUACCGUCUGAGACGCAACCAAGGCCUCCUCUCUCCUACAAAAAGACUCUAUAGGCCCAGGGUCCAGAUUCUUCCUCACAGAUAGUACUUCUCCAAUCCAUGGGUUCAGUGCUCCCGGACCAUCUACAGAAUCUAAGAGGAAACCCAAGCUUCACUACCUAGAUGGGCUCAAGGAGGGAACCAAGCCCCAGCAGAGAUGACUCAGUAGAGAAAGCCAGAGGCUGGCCAUGGCCCCGCACCUGUCUCCGUGGGCUGGUGCAGAAGAGCGGCACUUCCCCAUAGGAGCAGAGAGGUGCCCUCUCCCCGACCCCCAGCCCUUUAACCUCCUCUGGCUGGGCCAGUGAUGCCUGCUCCUAGUCUGUGGCCUGACUGGAAAUUGGCUGGGAUACUCUGGGAGGUGGGGAGAGGAUGGUAGGUCACUGACGACAGGCGGGACACCAAUGCGAUGCUGAGCCAGGAG
This is a long non-coding RNA of Bos grunniens (domestic yak), 1869 nucleotides long. The record is from Ensembl. NCBI's taxonomy places the organism in Eukaryota, Metazoa, Chordata, Mammalia, Artiodactyla, Bovidae.